GACGAACGCUGGCGGCGUGCUUAACACAUGCAAGUCGAACGGAAAGGCCCUGCUUUUGUGGGGUGCUCGAGUGGCGAACGGGUGAGUAACACGUGAGUAACCUGCCCUUGACUUUGGGAUAACUUCAGGAAACUGGGGCUAAUACCGGAUAGAAGCUCCUGCUGCAUGGUGGGGGUUGGAAAGUUUCGGCGGUUGGGGAUGGACUCGCGGCUUAUCAGCUUGUUGGUGGGGUAGUGGCUUACCAAGGCUUUGACGGGUAGCCGGCCUGAGAGGGUGACCGGCCACAUUGGGACUGAGAUACGGCCCAGACUCCUACGGGAGGCAACAGUGGGGAAUAUUGCACAAUGGGCGGAAGCCUGAUGCAGCAACGCCGCGUGCGGGAUGACGGCCUUCGGGUUGUAAACCGCUUUCGCCUGUGACGAAGCGUGAGUGACGGUAAUGGGUAAAGAAGCACCGGCUAACUACGUG
This 468-nucleotide ribosomal RNA is filed under the name uncultured bacterium. RNAcentral describes it as "partial 16S ribosomal RNA". It matches the Rfam family "Bacterial small subunit ribosomal RNA", at positions 28 to 507 of the family's 1533-position model. The record is from RNAcentral.